RNAcentral lists this ribosomal RNA (467 nucleotides) under uncultured bacterium. RNAcentral describes it as "partial 16S ribosomal RNA". It matches the Rfam family "Bacterial small subunit ribosomal RNA", at positions 28 to 507 of the family's 1533-position model. The record is from RNAcentral.
GACGAACGCUGGCGGCGUGCUUAACACAUGCAAGUCGAACGGAAAGGCCUCUUUCGGGGGGUACUCGAGUGGCGAACGGGUGUGUAACACGUGAGUAACCUGCCCUUUACUUUGUGUUAACUUCAGGAAACUGUGGCUAAUACCGGCUAGGAGCUCCUGCUGCAUGGUGGGGGUUGGAAAGUUUCGGCGGUUGGGGGUGGACUCGCGGGUUAUCUGCUUGUUGGUGGGGUAGUGGGUUACCAAGGCUUUGACGGGUAGCCGGGCUGGGGGGGUGACCGGCGAAAUUGGGAAUGAGAGACGGCCCAGACUGCUACGGGAGGGAGAAGGGGGGAAAAAUGGAAAAAGGGUGGAAGCCUGAUGCAGCAACGCCGGGGGCGGGAGGACGGGCUUCGGGUUGAAAACCGAUUUCGCUCAGGACGAAGCUUUGUGUGACGGUAGUGGGUAAAGAAGCACCGGCUAACUACGUG